GAGCUCGUAGGCGGUUUGUCGCGUCUGUCGUGAAAGUCCGGGGCUUAACCCCGGAUCUGCGGUGGGUACGGGCAGACUAGAGUGCAGUAGGGGAGACUGGAAUUCCUGGUGUAGCGGUGGAAUGCGCAGAUAUCAGGAGGAACACCGAUGGCGAAGGCAGGUCUCUGGGCUGUAACUGACGCUGAGGAGCGAAAGCAUGGGGAGCGAACAGGAUUAGAUACCCUGGUAGUCCAUGCCGUAAACGUUGGGCACUAGGUGUGGGGACCAUUCCACGGUUUCCGCGCCGCAGCUAACGCAUUAAGUGCCCCGCCUGGGGAGUACGGCCGCAAGGCUAAAACUCAAAGGAAUUGACGGGGGCCCGCACAAGCGGCGGAGCAUGCGGAUUAAUUCGAUGCAACGCGAAGAACCUUACCAAGGCUUGACAUGUUCUCGAUCGCCGUAGAGAUACGGUUUCCCCUUUGGGGCGGGUUCACAGGUGGUGCAUGGUUGUCGUCAGCUCGUGUCGUGAGAUGUUGGGUUAAGUCCCGCAACGAGCGCAACCCUCGUUCCAUGUUGCCAGCACGUAAUGGUGGGGACUCAUGGGAGACUGCCGGGGUCAACUCGGAGGAAGGUGAGGACGACGUCAAAUCAUCAUGCCCCUUAUGUCUUGGGCUUCACGCAUGCUACAAUGGCCGGUACAAUGGGUUGCGAUACUGUGAGGUGGAGCUAAUCCCAAAAAGCCGGUCUCAGUUCGGAUUGGGGUCUGCAACUCGACCCCAUGAAGUCGGAGUCGCUAGUAAUCGCAGAUCAGCAACGCUGCGGUGAAUACGUUCCCGGGCCUUGUACACACCGCCCGUCAAGUCACGAAAGUUGGUAACACCCGAAGCCGGUGGCCUAACCCUUGU
RNAcentral lists this ribosomal RNA (884 nucleotides) under Micrococcus sp. qy4. Its description in RNAcentral is "bacterial SSU rRNA". It matches the Rfam family "Bacterial small subunit ribosomal RNA", at positions 565 to 1444 of the family's 1533-position model. The record is from RNAcentral. Lineage: Bacteria; Bacillati; Actinomycetota; Actinomycetes; Micrococcales; Micrococcaceae.